CGCCAGACUCCUACGGGAGGCAGCAGUGGGGAAUAUUGCACAAUGGGGGAAACCCUGAUGCAGCGACGCCGCGUGAGUGAAGAAGUAUUUCGGUAUGUAAAGCUCUAUCAGCAGGGAAGAAAAUGACGGUACCUGAUUAAGAAGCCCCGGCUAACUACGUGCCAGCAGCCGCGGUAAUACGUAGGGGGCAAGCGUUAUCCGGAUUUACUGGGUGUAAAGGGAGCGUAGACGGUGAUGCAAGUCAGAAGUGAAAGCCCGGGGCUCAACUCCGGGACUGCUUUUGAAACUGUGUGACUGGAGUGCAGGAGAGGUAAGCGGAAUUCCUGGUGUAGCGGUGAAAUGCGUAGAUAUCAGGAGGAACACCAGUGGCGAAGGCGGCUUACUGGACUGUAACUGACGUUGAGGCUCGAAAGCGUGGGGAGCAAACAGGAUUAGAUACCCUUGUAUU
This 448-nucleotide ribosomal RNA is filed under the name uncultured bacterium. RNAcentral describes it as "bacterial SSU rRNA". It matches the Rfam family "Bacterial small subunit ribosomal RNA", at positions 329 to 794 of the family's 1533-position model. The record is from RNAcentral.